GCUUACACAUGCAAGUCGAACGCCCCGCAAGGGGAGUGGCAGACGGGUGAGUAACGCGUGGGAAUCUACCCAUCUCUGCGGAAUAGCUCUGGGAAACUGGAAUUAAUACCGCAUACGCCCUACGGGGGAAAGAUUUAUCGGGGAUGGAUGAGCCCGCGUUGGAUUAGCUAGUUGGUGGGGUAAAGGCCUACCAAGGCGACGAUCCAUAGCUGGUCUGAGAGGAUGAUCAGCCACAUUGGGACUGAGACACGGCCCAAACUCCUACGGGAGGCAGCAGUGGGGAAUAUUGGACAAUGGGCGCAAGCCUGAUCCAGCCAUGCCGCGUGAGUGAUGAAGGCCUUAGGGUUGUAAAGCUCUUUCACCGAUGAAGAUAAUGACGGUAGUCGGAGAAGAAGCCCCGGCUAACUUCGUGCCAGCAGCCGCGGUAAUACGAAGGGGGCUAGCGUUGUUCGGAAUUACUGGGCGUAAAGCGCACGUAGGCGGAUAUUUAAGUCAGGGGUGAAAU
This 505-nucleotide ribosomal RNA is filed under the name Agrobacterium tumefaciens. RNAcentral's name for it is "bacterial SSU rRNA". It matches the Rfam family "Bacterial small subunit ribosomal RNA", at positions 46 to 600 of the family's 1533-position model. Lineage: Bacteria; Pseudomonadati; Pseudomonadota; Alphaproteobacteria; Hyphomicrobiales; Rhizobiaceae. The record is from RNAcentral.